This 643-nucleotide long non-coding RNA is filed under the name Olea europaea subsp. europaea. Lineage: Eukaryota; Viridiplantae; Streptophyta; Magnoliopsida; Lamiales; Oleaceae. The record is from RNAcentral.
CCUUACAAAAGUUAUCAAAUCCCAUGCUACAAACUCUAGACCAUUAUCAAUUCUCAGAGUUUUGAAGAAAUUAACUUCUUUAUCUUUUGAGUUGUUCUGUCGAAUUGGUAGCUCAAGAUUUUUUAACUUUUUAUCCAAUUAGUUUUCCACAAUUUUAAGUCAAGUCUGAAAUUUAUGAAAAGUUUCAGAUUUAGCCUUUAAAGGGUGAACCCAUACUUUGCUAGAGUAAAUCAUCUACUUCGGACCAAAAGUACUUCCACCAAAGGUGGGUUACUUUUCAGACCUCCACAAAUUUGCAUGGACAUAAUCUAAACGUCUAUUAGUUGUAUGUGAACCCAUCUCAAAACUCACCUUGUGAGACUUUCCCAACAAACAAGUCUCACAAAAUUUUAAACGUUCGAUAAGACUUUUAUCGAGUAACUUUUGAUCACUUAGAUUUUUUAAACAUUCAUUUCCUAUAUGCCCCAUUCUUUUGUGCCAUUUUUCAGAUUUAUCAUCAGUAACAUUGAGAAGAUUAACUUCUUGUGAAGCAAUAACAUCACCUUUUAGAUAGUAUAGCCCAUUUUUCUCAGGUUCUUUCAUUACAAUUAGGGAACCUCGCAUAACUUUUAGUGUAUUAUUUUGAGAUUUAAAGACAUGUCCU